This is a non-coding RNA of Vicugna pacos (alpaca), 1320 nucleotides long. The record is from RefSeq and is a predicted model, not a curated record. Lineage: Eukaryota; Metazoa; Chordata; Mammalia; Artiodactyla; Camelidae.
UUAUUUUUUAGAGGAGGUACUGGGGAUUGAACCCAGGACCUUGUGCAUGCUAAACACAUGCUUUACCACUGAGCUAUAUACUCCCCCUUUGAUAUUUUUAAAGUUAAAAUUAAAUCUAUCUAGAUAGAUAAAACAUAAUCUGAGUGGAUCAGAGACUGGAAGGAGGUCCCACCCUGAAUCCCCGGGAAUUAGCUGGAAUUGGUCAAAGGCUACAUUGUGUGGUGUGAAAAUCAGGACGUGUGGAAAAAGGGGAGGGGGACACCAAAACACCCACGCCCCAGGGCCCACUAUAAAAAGCACAUUUGAAAACACCAGACUGGAAACGUUUUUUUUUUUAUUAUUAUUAUUUUUUUAAAUAGCAAAAGCUCGUCCCCCCAGGAGGCGUGUUGCAGCUGCGGCCGUGACAGUUCCCAGGUGAUGUCAGUCCUGGCCCAGUGCCAGCCCCGGCCCCUUGGAGACGGUCUUAUAAUGUCCUCUGUACCAUUACACCCCUGCAGGACAGGAUCCAGCCCAGAGGCGUGCUACAUUUUGCUGUCCAGGUCGACUUUUGAUAUCACGUCCACAGGAGGAGCUUCAUAAAAUGGAAGAGGCCUGGGCCACUGAGGGGAACUUCAUGUGGUAGAGGAGCCUGGGGCUGGAGGCAGGGGCCCUGCAUUCUCAGCCCUGCUCAGCUCCAAAUGCUGUGCAAUUCUGGCCCAUUGCUGUCCCUAUCUGGGCUUUGGUUUCCCCAUUGCCAUGGACGACCUCUGAGGCCUUCCCACUUGCAAUUGUGGAACUAGGGAAGAGAGCCCUGAGUGGCGAUCAGGGAGACCUGGGCUCCCAGUGGCCCAGGAGAGCCUUGCUGGGGAACCUUGGGCAGUUUGCUUCAUCUGUAUUGGCUCAGCUUCUCACUGUGAAAUGACUGAGUCUGAGAUCCUUCUUGUGCUGAUGCUCCUUGUGUCUAAGAGUUUGGGUGGAAGGUGUGACCUGAUAUUUAAGCCUCCCCCCUUCAGGGUCCCAGGUGGCCUGGCUGAAGCUGCUCAUUCUACCCUCCUCAGCCCUGGGUUUCUUCUGCCUGAGCAACUUUACUCCUCUGGCCCCAAGUCGGCCCCUGCUCAGGCAGCCUGCAGAAGCCUGGCUGGGCUGGCCCAUCCUGAAGGUGGAAGGUGUGUGUGUUGGGGGCAGGGAUGUUAGGCAAAUGGCCCCAGAGGUCCUGGUGCACAGCUGUGCCAGGUCAUGUGUAUUGGGCUGGCCUUGUAGCUCACAAGGGGUCUGAGACAUUAACUAUCCCCCACUCAGGAACCAGGCUCAGGGAAGACAGCAAGCAGCAAAAUGUGCAGA